Molecule: long non-coding RNA, 570 nt
Organism: Python bivittatus (Burmese python)
Lineage: Eukaryota; Metazoa; Chordata; Lepidosauria; Squamata; Pythonidae
Source: RefSeq, a predicted model, not a curated record
UUGAAGGGCAUUUGAGUCAUGAGUAGGUAUCUAAAAAGGAUGAAUAGAGAUUAAGCAGAGGGAAGUAAGCAGAACAUGUUUGUUUCAUUCAUCAGCAAGAGUGCUUCAGAAUACCUUGGAGGCCUGCAGUAUGAAAGACAGAACCCGGAAGAAAGAGGGAUAAGGAGGGAAGAGAAUGACAGCAAGUUAAAGCAGCAGAACGUAAAAUACAGACAUGAUUUGCUGGCUCAGGGAGAACAGAGGCCCUUUGGAGAUGGCCUUUCUUCUUUCCCUCUCCUCAUGUUCUGCUACAGCCUGUUGGAAUGGCUGUGGCCUGAAAGCAGAUAAGGACAGAGGAAAUGCAUAAAACAUGAUUCACCUUUAUUUUCUAAGAGAUAACAGCCAGGAUAUGCUCAUUCAGUCGUUGUUUUUAAGUGAAUGCCAGGAGUGAUUUCUCCUUUCCCUGCUGACUUCUCUUCUAUGAAAGAGAUUUUGAAAGCUGGCAAACAUCCUGCAGUUACCACCAGAUUUGUUAAACAUGAUGCUUUGUUUUGUUUGUGGCUCUGGCUCAAAGACUUCAAACUGUACUAC